Molecule: ribosomal RNA, 462 nt
Filed under: uncultured bacterium
Lineage: Bacteria
Description: bacterial SSU rRNA
Rfam family: Bacterial small subunit ribosomal RNA
Source: RNAcentral
CAGGACGAACGCUGGCGGCGUGCUUAACACAUGCAAGUCGAACGGGAAACUUUAUUUCGGUAAAGGAUCUAGUGGCAAACGGGUGAGUAACGCGUAGGCAACCUGCCCUUAGGAUGGGGACAACGGCCCGAAAGGACCGCUAAUACCGAAUGCACUCUAACUUCCGCAUGGAAGAAAGAGGAAAGAUGGUGCAAGCCAUCGCCGAAGGAAGGGCCUGCGUCUGAUUAGCCAGUUGGUGAGGUAACGGCUCACCAAAGCGACGAUCAGUAGCCGGUCUGAGAGGAUGAACGGCCACAAUGGGACUGAGACACGGCCCAUACUCCUACGGGAGGCAGCAGUGGGGAAUCUUCCGCAAUGGGCGAAAGCCUGACGGAGCAACGCCGCGUGAGUGAAGAAGGUCUUCGGAUCGUAAAGCUCUGUUGUUGGGGACGAAAGGGAAAGGGAGGAAAUGCCCUUUAAGAC